Molecule: unclassified non-coding RNA, 400 nt
Filed under: uncultured fungus
Lineage: Eukaryota; Fungi
Description: sequence contains ITS1
Rfam family: 5.8S ribosomal RNA (bases 1-105)
Source: RNAcentral
GAAAUGCGAUAUGUAAUGUGAAUUGCAGAAUUCAGUGAAUCAUCGAAUCUUUGAACGCACAUUGCGCUCCUUGGUAUUCCGGGGAGCACACCUGUUUGAGUAUCAAUAAUCUCUCACAUCUUAUUUUUGGGUUUAACAGCUCGCUGAUAAGAUUGUGGAUUUGGAUAAUCUGUUCUUUACAGAACCGUUAUCUUAAUUUUAAUGUCAAAAGCUCCUUCUGAAAAGAGACAGAUGCUUGAGAUGAUAGAAUAAGUUUUAACUACUUUUUUGCUCUCUUGCGACAACUCUGUCUCAUACAAAUUUUCAUUUGAGCGUCUUUGAUACCUUUAAUUAUUACCUACGAUUGUUACAGUUGUAACAGUUGUUUGAAUACUUGGUCUCAAAUCAGGUGGGAAAACCC